CAGCAGGAUGGUAGAAGUUGUGUAUAACUGGAGAAGAAUUGUGAGGUGACUAUGCUCAACAGAAUGUGCCUGUGCUGUUACAUAGGAUAUUGAAAACAUAUCUGAAAUGAUGCAAUCAUCUACCACAAACACUUCGAAAACUAAAGGGGACUUCUUAUUUUUCAUUAUUUUGCCAGUAUGUCAGAAAUGCAUGACCUCUUUUCAGCUGAACGAUCCAGGACUGGACUGACUUGGAGGGAGGAAAAACAUGGCAUCACCUUUUCCACCGAUUCAAAUGGAAGCCAAGAGAUAUCUCUCCUUUAAGUGUUAAUACAGGAUAUCUAAUUUAGAACUGGUGAUAAUGAGGAGUGUUAUUUUAUCCCAGUUAAUCUUCAUAAAGGCCAUGUUUCUUAAAAAUCUGUAUGGAUUUCUGCACAGAAAAAGAAACAGUGGUUAUGCUACUAUACC
RNAcentral lists this long non-coding RNA (447 nucleotides) under Coturnix japonica (Japanese quail). RNAcentral describes it as "lncRNA (ENSCJPG00005018340.1)". Lineage: Eukaryota; Metazoa; Chordata; Aves; Galliformes; Phasianidae. The record is from RNAcentral.